GGUCUCAACCAUCCCGGUCGAUUUUCACAGUUCCCUAAUAACGCGGCGCAUAGAAUCGCAUGAGGCGGGUUCAAUUCGCUAGCUUUGGCACUUCAAUUAUUUUUAAUUUAAUUCGACCAAACAAAAAGAUGCUCUGCAAGCCACCUCAUUUAUUUUGAUUUAUUUAAAACGUGGCUGGUGUCUAAAUUCAAAAAAAAAACAGCAACAGCACAAAAAAGUAACGAAGGCCUGUUUGAAUGAAUUUUGUGAUUCUGUGUUGAUGGUUUUUUUUUUCUUCUCUUCAAAGUGACCACAAUAAACAGGCCAUUUUCCAAAACGACAUAAUAAACAAAAAAAUUGGCCUCGAUGAAAGGUGGACAAAAUUGUUUAUGAUCACUAUUAUCAUCAUCAUCAUCGGUCGCUACAACAUUAUUACUUGGUGAAAAAAAUAUCUAUCAGACUAUGGGUGGCCAUACUCCCAGCGUUCUCCAUCCUCGCCACCUCCAUUAAGUGAGGCAAAGUUUUUCAAAAAAAAAAAUCAUUCGUUGCGUAUGUUUGUGUCCAUGUGUUUAGUUUUUGCGUUGCGGCAAUAAAAUAAAAAAUAAACAAAUAAAUUUAUUUAACACUUGUUCUGGAAUUUUUAUGAUUUCUGUUGUGUGAAACAAAAAAAAAAAAUUGUUGGAAAUUACUUUCAAAUAUUUUAAUAUUUUGGAAUUUGUGGAAAAUAAAAGAAAUCGCCUUUAAAUUGAAAUAUUUUCGGCGAAAACCACACGAAAAACACAAUUUAAUGUGAAUGAGUACCUAAAAGAAGAGCAAGCCUAAGAAUUUGGAAUAACGCAUUGGAUAUGGAAGACAUAUAAUUUGAAGAUUGACACAGACCCAGAACUAAUUAUUCAACGAAAAAGUUAUAUCAUUGAAAAGUUAAGUCACUAAAGUGACAAGAACAUAAACAACGUCACUAAAGGAACACCUUGAAAAGAUUAACAAGUCCAAAAGAGCCAACUUUGCCUAGGCAUACUUAAGCAAACAAAAAUAAAAGAGUGAAAAGUUCAUAAAUUCAUCGGCUCUACAGACCAAUGACGCCAAACUAUAUAUAGAUGACAUCUACUGUAGAUGAUGAAGAUUGAUUUAGUCACUUCCAAGGUAAACGAGACACUAACGAAGUAACAGUGGCUAAUUAAGAAGAAAUUGGAAAUGCUUCCGCCUUUGUGUUGCUGCUCAACUCAUAAAAUGAUGAUGAUGUCUGUUGGAAAGGUGUAGACCUUAACUAAGAACAAAAACCUCCUUCUUUGUGCCCUGCUUGUCUGGAUUAUUUGAGAACAUCAGCAGCCACAUCUUUCUUUUUUGAAAAUUAACAUCAAAACAUCAUUUGCGGCUUUGUUGUCAUAUCAAUAUACCAUCUAUCAUCGCCAUUGCCACGGUGGAUCUUUUACUGGCGGCUAUACAUCUCUAGUACAGCACGAGUUUAGUGAGGGAGUAGAAAACUUUAAAAAAAAGGCGGCAAAUGACAUACAAACAUUUAUGUUUGUAAUUAUAUGCUGUAACGGGCUAUGAACAUUAAUCGCAGCCGUGGCAGCAACAGCAGCAGGAAUAGCAUCAGCUUCAGCCUCAGAAAAUAUAAAAUAUUUAAAUUUAGACAAAAGAACACAUGUUGCCAAAUAUCACUACUGGAAGAUGUGAAGAGACAUUGUCGUGGCUAUACAACAACAACAACAAC
Long non-coding RNA from Stomoxys calcitrans (stable fly), 1696 nucleotides. RefSeq lists it as uncharacterized. The transcript has 2 exons. The record is from RefSeq and is a predicted model, not a curated record. Lineage: Eukaryota; Metazoa; Arthropoda; Insecta; Diptera; Muscidae.